GAUGAACGCUGGCGGCGUGCCUAAUACAUGCAAGUCGGGCGAACGGACGAGAAGCUUGCUUCUCUGAUGUUAGCGGCGGACGGGUGAGUAACACGUGGAUAACCUACCUAUAAGACUGGGAUAACUUCGGGAAACCGGAGCUAAUACCGGAUAAUAUUUUGAACCGCAUGGUUCAAAAGUGAAAGACGGUCUUGCUGUCACUUAUAGAUGGAUCCGCGCUGCAUUAGCUAGUUGGUAAGGUAACGGCUUACCAAGGCAACGAUGCAUAGCCGACCUGAGAGGGUGAUCGGCCACACUGGAACUGAGACACGGUCCAGACUCCUACGGGAGGCAGCAGUAGGGAAUCUUCCGCAAUGGGCGAAAGCCUGACGGAGCAACGCCGCGUGAGUGAUGAAGGUCUUCGGAUCGUAAAACUCUGUUAUUAGGGAAGAACAUAUGUGUAAGUAACUGUGCACAUCUUGACGGUACCUAAUCAGAAAGCCGCGGCUAACUACGUG
This 497-nucleotide ribosomal RNA is filed under the name uncultured bacterium. RNAcentral describes it as "partial 16S ribosomal RNA". It matches the Rfam family "Bacterial small subunit ribosomal RNA", at positions 28 to 507 of the family's 1533-position model. The record is from RNAcentral.